CGGGGAGCACCACAACAGGUGGAGCCUGCGGUUUAAUCGGACUCAACGCCGGGAAACUCACCAGAUAAGACAGCUGAAUGAUAGUCGGGCUGAAGACUCUACUUGACUAGCUGAGAGGAGGUGCAUGGCCGUCGUCAGUUCGUACUGUGAAGGCAUCCUGUUAAGUCAGGCAACGAGCGAGACCCACGCCAACAGUUGCCAGCUCGUCCUCCGGGAUGGUGGGGACACUGUUGGGACCGCCUCUGCUAAAGAGGAGGAAGGAAUGGGCAACGGUAGGUCAGCAUGCCCCGAAUUAUCUGGGCUACACGCGGGCUACAAUGGGUGGGACAAUGGGUAUCGACACCGAAAGGUGAAGGCAAUCUCCUAAACCCAUCCGUAGUUCGGAUUGUGGGCUGCAACUCGCCCACAUGAAGCUGGAAUCUGUAGUAAUCGUGUCUCAAAAUGGCACGGUGAAUAUGUCCCUGCUCCUU
Molecule: ribosomal RNA, 470 nt
Filed under: uncultured Methanomicrobiales archaeon
Lineage: Archaea; Methanobacteriati; Methanobacteriota; Methanomicrobia; Methanomicrobiales
Description: bacterial SSU rRNA
Rfam family: Archaeal small subunit ribosomal RNA
Source: RNAcentral